AGAGCGAUUGCAACAAUUCCAACCGUAAUAUUUGUGCAAAAUUAUUGCAAAUGAGGAGUCCAAUAAUUUAAACGAGAAGUUGACAUCGGGUUAUUCCGACAACGACAGCCCAUUUUCUCAGGUUUGUUUCGAAAAAAGAAUUUUACUGGACAAAAACAGCAAAACUUGAAAUAUAACAUUCAAAAUUGUGCAAACCAAACCUGUCAACUGUUCAAGAGAUGGAAAUGUCAUUUCAAUUACGUUUCGCACACAAUGUCAUAUUCAUUGGCAGACAAAAUCAACUCAACAAAUAAAAACAACACAUAUCGUAAAAAAAAUUAAACGUAAAUUUGAACACGUCUAUCAUCAUUUCACAUCGAAGUCGAAAGAAGAAUAAAACAAUUUGUCCUGAAAAGUACAAAAAUUUAUUGGCAUUUGUUGCAAUUCAAUCGAACUUGGUUUUAUACGGAGUGAAAUACAGUUUCCAAUAAAAAUAAUCGAAUAAAAAUGGAGGAGCUAUUGAACGAAACAGUUUCGCAAGCAGAAUUACAGAAAUUCGAAAAGAAUUACAAAAGGGAGCUCGAGGAAAAGGGUGGACAAGUUGCAGUUCAAACACAAUUCGAAUAUGCAUAUUGCUUGGUGCGCAGCGAAUAUCCAGCCGAUAUCAAAAAGGGGAUUUUCAUGCUUGAGGACCUUGCAGAAAAGCAUUCGCAGGGCAAUCGUGACUACAUUUAUUAUUUAGCCAUUGGAAAUGCCCGAAUCAAGAAUUAUUCGGUAGCAUUGAAAUUUUGCAAGGCAUUUCUACAGAUCGAGCCCAACAACCAACAAGCCAUCACAUUGGAGGAGCACAUACGGAAAAAGAUGGAAAAAGAGACGAUGGCUGGCGUAGCUGUUGCUGGUGGUGCUGCAUUGGUAUUGGGCGGUUUGGUUGGACUUGGUCUGGCGCUUGCUUCUAGAAAGUAGGAUUUAUUCCAUUCAUUCACCAUCAUCAAUUUUUUUUUCGUUUUUGAAUUUUCAUGUGAUAAAAAUCAUUAUUACUCUCGCUCGAUUAUUUGUUAAUACGUUUCCGUUUCAUUUCCAACAAAAAAACAAACUUGAUUUGUGAAUUGUUCGCUUUUUUCUGUUUUGAUUACCAAAGCGAAUAUAAAUUUUAACAUAGAAUUAUUGAUGUCAUGUCGAAGCAAUGAUAUUUGAAAUCAAACAAACGAGUCUUCUCUCGAAAUUCUAAAGAAUAAUUUUGCAUUAGCUCAUGAAAGACGUAUAUAGAAAAUGUUGCGCUAGUUUAAAACAGCAAAGCGAAUACAAGAUUGAUUUGUUCCAAGGUUUAUAAUUUAUUCAUGUAUAACUUUUUGUUCAUUACACUUUAAAGAAAGGUUUGUCAAUGAAAUUUUUCUUAAUAAAAAGAACCGAGAUGCAGCUGAAACAUAGCAAAAAAAAAACAAUUAUUGUGUAUUAGUGCAGUAUUUUAUGCAGACAUGCAAAUCUAACUAACACAGAAGAUACAUUCAUCGCACCAUUAAUUUCGUGUUAUUUUUCCUCUAUUGUUGUUCAUAUUUCGAUGUUCCCCCUUAAUUGAUGUUGUUUUCACAAUAUAAUCACACAUUCUACAACCUCUUUUCUUUCUUCAUUUCAGUAAAAACAAAGACAAAGACAAUGAAAAAAAGUAAUUUCCCAAUGAUCUCCGUGGCGCGCGCGCGCGGUGCAACCAUCUAUCAAAUCUAAUAUACUAUAACGCACAUGACCAAAAAAAAAUCCAUCUUUUCAGAAAUCAUGAAUUCCGAUCAUAUUAAAAUAUGUUGUGAUUGUGUCUAUUUUUGUGUGUAAGGAAUAAAAGCCUAUUUUGUUACCCAUGCUAGUUUGGUCAAGACAUAUUUUUUUUGCAGUAUUUUGAAAAGAAAUGAAGAAAAAAAAACAAAAUAUAUUUUCUUGUUGAAAUUUGAAAUGAAAUAAAAUUAUUUAUCGCUCAUGUUUUGUCUACCAAAAUACAUGGUUUUUGAUUAUGUGUGUAUUCUAAUUGAAAUUCUGUAUCCCCUCUCCCCCAAAAAAGUUUGCGUGGCUAAUAUAAGCGGUCAUACAAAUGAUUCGUUAUACACUAGCUACUGAUUUAAUAUAUGAAGGUAGCAAUUUGUUGCGCCAAUAUUGUGUUUAACGAGAUAAAUUGCUCUUGAUUCGUACAAAACAGUAAUAAGGUGCCGCAUGUAGUAUAUAAUAAAGUGGCCCAACGCUAUAUUCCAAAUCUCUGUUUCUUAUGAGCCAUUUAAACGGUCACAUUCUCUAUCCCAUUCUAGUGUUUUUUUUCCUUCACUAAACACAAUGAUUUAUUGCGUUGCAAAGAGUGGUUUUUAAACCCUAUUCCAACUAGUUGAAUGUCUCUUUGUCUGCUUAAUACUAAUAAUAAAUGUGUAAAUAAAUAAAUUGAAAAUAUUUACAAUUUCAUCAAAAUCAUACAAUAAAAAAAGAAUCGUAUUGAUAAACUCAUAGGUAGGUUAACUUGUACAAAUCAUCAUCAUCAAUAUGGAUGUUGGAAAGAAAGAAACAACGAAAUCCCUCUUCAUUUUGGUUUCAAAUUUAAAGCUCACAGGAAUUCCAUUAUAGGGUAAUCAUUAUAAAAUACACUUAAACUAUCCCUUUACGCUAUUGCUAGACUUCCAAAGAAGAAAAAAGAAGAACAAAUCAGAUUACAUAAAUACGUUAACGUUAGAAGAGAAGUGUAAUCGUGUCGAUUUUGGUUUUGGUACAAAUUAUAUAAAUAGUUUCAAGAUAUAAGACAAUUGCAUGGUUGGUUGCACUAUGUUCCGUGUGUAUGUAUAUGCGUCGUGUCUCUCCUACCACACAGCGCAUGGAGAACGGCCACCUAUAUGACUGUAGCGAUGGAACAGUAAAGCCAUAUAGUUCACCGAAUUUCAGCUGAUGCCACUGGUCAUUGAUAUGAACUGCGCCUUGUAAUAGUACGCACAAAUGCCAAUUACAAUUGAGAAUGCUGUCGUUGCCAAUGCGGUUCGUCUACUCCACAUCAUUUGCGGUAUGAGACGAUUGAUCAAUGAGUGUUUUGCAGCUUCUUUGCGUUGAAUACGCAGACGUCGAGCUUCCGCUGCCGCUUUUGCUGCCUUUAUUUCCUUUUCUCGUUGUUGCUUUCUGUUGAAUUGGGCGACAGAUUUGAUUUUGAUUAUUAGUAUGAAAAAAUCAAUUGGAAAUUUGAAUUGAUCCAAAAUCCAAAUUGGUUGAGUCGGAGAAUUCAAGUUCAAAAUUUAUUGAUUCAGAAUUCAAAGAUACAAAAAAAAACUCACUCUUGUUCAACCAUCACUUGAACUUCGAUUUCGAUUUCUUCUGGUGGAUGUUUGUUGUAUAAAUUGGCUGCAUUUUGUAACAAAUACUCAAACGGCAAAUCUUCCGGUAGCUAAAAACAUGAAUAGGUUUCAUUAAAAGUUUAUCUCAAGAAAAAUCUUUCGAUGGUAUCGAAUCAACUUUUUGAGAGCUAUUCUCUAGAAUAAACACUUCACACGAAAAACAAAAACCGUUGAUGUCUUUACCUGUGAGAGAAGACAAUGCAAGCUAGCCAUAUCACAAUCCUCUUUGAAAAUGUCAUCCUCUCGAUACAGAACAAUGGCAACCGUAACAUAUAACGGCAUUAGGAAUGGCGACGCUAGGAAAUAGUCGUACAGCCGAACGACACUUCGGUAUGAAUUCAAACUGUGACCGAACCACGUUAAAAACCAAGGCAGUGCAAACAGUGUUCCAACAGACGAUCUGUGAAUGGUAAAGAUUAUCGUUAGCAUAAGACUAUGUGCAGUUUAGACAGGAUUUUGGUACUAUUUAGAUGCGUACUUCAGUAAAUAAUCACAUAAUUUGGCACUUUCACGACGAAUGAUGGGAUACAAAUACAUGAGACGAUGUUGUGUUGGCUCCAUGGUUUCCUGCAUACAUUCGACUAAAUGGUUUGUUGAUAAUAUUUCCAUCACAUGGAACGCCACCUCUUCACCGACCACUAACAAAAAUGUGAUUGCUACAUCAUGGUAGCCCUAAAAAAAUUGAAAUCACAUGUCUUGGAAGUAAAUCGUAUGUCGAAUAUCUUAUUAGCACCAUGACUUAUUUGCUCUGCGAAUAUCUUAAUAGAUGCAUACAAUCAAUUGUACACCAUCAUACCUGAUAGUAUCGUAAAUGUGGAUAUUUGAUGAUGACGCGAAGAAUCAAUACAGUGAGUUGAUCUUGAAGUGCAAUACGUUGCUCGUAUGGGAUACCCGGUGGAAAACGUUUUAGUGAUCGGUUUACAUCGAGAAUCACUUGAUUGUAUUCACGAUGUGAUUUUAAAUCUUCGAGAUUCGGUGCGGGAUCUACGCUGUUUGGGUCGAUACCAACAAGCCGUGGCCAUACCUGACGCCUCAGAUCAUCUAUUGAUAGGGGACGAAAGGUAAAAUAUCCAUAUUUUAUCAAUUAUUUUACCACUUGCGAAUAAUUGAAUGUGUGUGUACUUACCGCUAACUAGCCCAUAUUCACUUUUAGCAAAUUCCUGCCAUUUACUGAGCACUGUAUUUGGAUCAGCGAGUGCUGCCUCUAUUUUUUGCCUCUUUAACUUUUCUUCAACAUUUUCUGGUACUAAAAAUCAACAGAAAAAAUUAUUAGUAUUAGCCAAUUGUUAUGUCUAUAAAAAUGAUGAGCAAUGUUCAGUUGACCGUAGAAAAUAUCUGGAACAAUUGCAUUCAUAGUGAUUCAAGAGGAAAGAAUUGAUUAUUUUCAUGCAAUAUGUGUGUGAAUGGUAUGAAAUUCCGAAGAAAAAGCAACCGUAAACAUAUCGAAGAAUAGUUGUUGCGUGAAAUGUAAUUCGACCAUGGUGUACACCAUACAUGCGACGAUAAAACUGUUAACUGUGGUCGACUUCAUGGGACGGAAAGUUGACUGAAUAAUAAUUUAAACGAUGAUUCAUUUCUACUAUAUUUGUAAACAAAUGCAUCGGAAUUUAUAUCAUUCAGUUGUUUUUGUUGGUUUUUUUUCUGUGGCUUACCUUUUUCAAAGCUUAAUUCGGUUGGUUCGUCUGACCGUCGUUCUGUACAAACGACAACAUGUCCAUUGGACUUUUGAUCUGAACCGCAAUCAUCUGAAUUAUUUAUCCCGUUCGAUUCAUUGAUGAGUUUGGUAUUUUCGGAAUUUUUGUCAUUCUCCUCAUUCUCCAGUAGUUCACUCGUUUCAAUGAAUUCGAUGUCCUUGACAUCCAACAAUUUUACGAUUUCUUCGUCUUCUGUGACUUUGUCCAUUUUUACGCACUAAAUUGAUCUCAAUGCCAAACAAGAGGAAAGCGAACAAAAACACAAUUCACAGCACAAUUAAAUUCUCAAUUCACUUUUACAUAAUAAACUGUUCACGGCUGGAUUUUUUUCUGUCGUUUUUUAUUCUGUUAUCCAGUUUUAAUCUGAUAUUUCCAUUCGUAAUUUAUAAAUUGAUUGGAUGUGUGCAAUUUGGCCGUGUUUCCGUCGCAAAGCUGUUUCGACUGAAAUUCGUCGUACGAAUAUCAAGUUGAGUUGAAUAAAAAAUUUGACAAGUACGAAAUUGGUCAGAAAUAAAAUAUCAAAACAAUCUCUUACGUUCUCUACCACAAUCGAAGGUAUUUGCGUGCUGGUUCUUUUUUUCUCUUUCUUUACUCGUAAUGAUUCCACAACCAUUUAGUUUGACGUUACGACAAUUGCCAUUGUUUGUGUAUUGAAGUGUCGCAGCUGUUCGUGUAUACGUUGAGCGCGUCGUUCGUUUGGAUCACAUUCAAAUAGCCGAUGAAAGCCUGCGUUGUUGAACGUUUAACAGUGAAACAUUAUUAAUUUUCUUUUUUCUUAUGCUUAUUUACACUCUUUUGAAUUGAUUUUAAUAUGGAGUUGAUGCUUCGAUGACAAUAAACUAGAUCAACCAUAUGAAAAAGCAUGAAAAUGAAAUUCAUUCACCGGUUUUGAGCAACCCUAUCGAAUGCGAAAUAAAACGCGGCAUUCGAACGCGUAUGAGCACGCUGCGUUACAAAUGCUUGACAUGCGUUCCAAAUGGAAGAGCAUUCGCAAUAAAAGGAAAUGUUGCAAGAGUGUUCAGACGAAAUAAGGUACGUGUUCCAUUCGCUUGUGCUUUGGAGAAUAGUGUGGCUCAAAAAAUAAAAAUAAGCGAAAAAAAAUCAACGUUUAACGUUUACUCUCAGUUUCGAUACAAAGUUUGUACCUAUUUCAUUGUGUAUUCGAUUAAAAGUUGCCAAUCAAAAAGACAAGCCGAGAAGGGAGAUACCCAGACAGUGGCAACGCUGAACAUCGACAAAACACGGACGAGAAAUUUAAUUGCUGCUAAAUAAAAAAAAUAUACAGAAACAAAUAAUGGCUGAGGAUUUUGACAUCGAAGCAUUGCUUGAGGCACCAUACAAUGUAAGUACCCACGAAAAAAAAGAGACGCAAAAACACACAUAUCCCACCAGAAACAUUUUCAGAUACACGAUUUCCAUAUAUAGCGUGAAUACUGUCAGAGAAAAAAAAAUGUCAAGACAUAAGAAAUAAUUGUGUGUAGAAUGUAAGUUGAUCAUCGAAAUCAUGUCUAGUACACGGUAAAUAUGCAGUCACACAAACACAUAAUAGACGAAAACCUAUACAAAACUUGGCCACACAAAGUUUGUUUUUUUCCUUUUUUCUUUUCUUCGUUUUGAUUUUUUUCGUUUCCUUUUAACUGUCAUGGACGAUAAUGUACUUUCUAAUUAUAUAUGUUCAACUCUCUUUAUUUAUCCGUUUACAAACCUUGUACCGUUUGUGAGAUAUGGACAUGUGAACAACUUUUUUUGUAUAUUUUUUCGCCGCAAUUUUUUUUUUCUAGAAUUGAAAAUCGUAGAGUUUGUUGUCACCGACCCCUCCCCAUUUUUCUUCUUUUUUUUCUCCUUAAAUUUUAAAUGUAUGCGAAUAAGUGUAUUAAAAUUAUACAGACAAAUAAUUACUUAGAUUGAUAAGCUAAUAUGAUAAAAAAUCAGAAAACAAAAACCAAAUCUUAUUUAAGUAACAAUUGCACUCAAAUAUCCUCGUUUUACAUUUUUAUAGAGAAUUGUUGAUAAACCAGCAACUGCAUCGAUCGAAAACAGCCGAGGUACUUGAAACAUAACAAAAAAAAAACAGUUUUAUUUAAACACAAAAUCAAAAACAGGUCUCUGUUCAUUGAAAAAAAAAACACCAUAAAAACGAGAUUGAAACAAGAAAAUAGCAAUCCAACGAAAACUGAUUGAAAAUAUGCUGUCGCCUCAUUGCAAAAAAAAACACAAAGCGAAAAUUGUCCAUUGUCUAUUUUAUUAUUAUUAUAUCAAAAUUCCCUUUUAUUCCCGAUGAGCUUACACACGCCAUUGGUGUGUCGUCAGACCAGUCCUAUUUUAUUCUCGUUUCCUUUUGGAAAAGUUUUUUUUCCGAAGUUUGGUACAUUUUUGUGCUAAUUUUCUCUUGAAGAAUAGAGCUCAAUCAUAAUCCUGGGCUGCUCAAUGAUAAAAUCAAUUUCCAAGUCAAUGUUAAUGCGACUGAAAAUUAUCGCUCUCAACUCCAAUAUUUUCAUUCAACGCCGAUUUCUAUAUUCCUAUCCUUCAUUCCAUGCUCGUCGUACUUUUUUCUUUCUCUCUCUUUUGUUUUUUUACCAAUAUUUGAAAUCUUUUUUUAAUAUAAUUUUGUGAUUUUCGAACAUUUAGAUAAAAGUAAAUUUAGUUUUUCAAAUUAUAUUUUUUUUUUUGAAUGAAUUGCAAUGAAACCAAAAGAACCAAUUUUAAAACAACCAAAAUGACAUUUCUCGCCUCAGGGUACCAUCUUCAACCAAAUUCUUGAACCGAUGUUAAAGUAAUACCUCCUUCCGACAGAGACUGUUGUGGAAAGUGUGAUACCGAAUACCAAAACAAAAUCCAUUUUUUUGUCUGGUACUUGAAUACUAUCUUUUGUCUAAAUGAAAUUCAGCUGUGGUGAUUUUUACAAAUUUCAUUAUUCAAAAAAAUUAAUGAAAUCUUUUCAACAAAUCUUAUAGAUUUUGAUGAAAACUAAAAAAAAAAACAAAUUAAAAAACAAAUCAAAUCAUACGAGUAUGUAUAACGUUCUGCUCAUCUACCAACUAGGUGUCGAUGUCUCAACAUCCCCAUGGUGUUAUGUGUACCUGUAUAAUUCUCUCUAAACGACACACACACUCACAAAUGAACCAAUGAUGCACACACUAAAUCCACGCGAACGUGUUCGAUAAAAAAAAGACACAGCCAGCCUCUCGAUUGUUUCGCUCGAAAUUGAAUUUCUCUUUUUUCUAGGUGUGGAACACAAAAUCAGCCAAAUGACCAAUUUCAUGAUCAAUUGUUGCAAUUCAUGCAACAUCCAAUCCAAGUCACGAAAUGAGAAAAUGAAAGCGAAUGGUACCAACAAAGAUACAAAAAGAAAAACUCAACUAAAUUUUGUGCUAGGGCAAAUCGCAACAACAAAAUCGUUUUUCGACUUUUGAACCGAUUCCAAUUCAUGUCAAAUUUUUAAACCAAUGACAAUGCAAUGCAAUUUUCAAGACGGACUUGCCAAAUGACAGCUGGCAAGAGAUUGCAAAAGAAAAUCUCGUUUCCACAUUUCACUCAACUCAUCUAUUCUCGCUCCUUUUGUCUCUCUCUCUCUCUCUCUCUGUUUCUAUGUGUGAAAACAUUUGCAUGAAGUAUAUAUAUUAUUAGAAAAGCAAUUUUCAGAACAUAACGAGUCUCGAAGCAGACAUCGUAUGGCUACAAAUGCUGGUAAUUCAAGGGAUAGUGACACAGAAUUCAAAGAUGAUCAUCAUGCGAGAAACCGAAGUUCGACCAAGUCCAUCGACUCGGAAUAUUCGGAUGAUGAUAGUGAAGGCUCUCAACGAAUGUUUAGCCCAGUUUAUUUCAGAAGAUCAACUGAACGUACCUAUUAUAGCCCAAAUUACUGUCCAUGGUCGCGAAAUACAUCGUCUGAACGGGAAAAUUCCGAAUAUUCAUACAAUAUCAAUGCAAAUAAAUCAAGUUCAGCACCAGUAAGUACUCGUACGCCAUGCAUUCGUAUUUGGAUUUAAAGUGCACACGUUUCUUCGUUCUAUGUUUGCCACAUCUCUGUGCAACUAAUUGCAACCAAACGCCUUAAUACAAUGUUAUCCGUUUCAAUGUUAUUUGUCGCAUUUUACUUCAGUGUUGUGAAGAAGCCCACGAAUGUCUGUCAUCAUCGCGGUGUUUCUCUCAUUGUCGCGGUGUUUGGUAAUGGGUUCGUCUUGAAAUGUGUCAUGACCGCGGGUCGCGUCGCACGCAGAACGAUGUCAAUUGUCUGAAAACCAUUUUGUUGUUGGCAAAAAUAGGAAAAAAAAAUCAUGAAUAUCGUCGCACGAGUUGUUUUUUGUUUUUUUAUUAUUAAAAUCGGGUCUAUCUUUUGCAGAACCAUGUUCGAUAGUUGAACCACAGUCUUACUCAUACUCGGUCGAGUCGAAUUCAAUAACAAUUUGAAUAAAUGAAUAAUAAAUCCACACAAACACACAAAAUUCAAAAUCGUUAAUCGCUUAUUCAAAAAUGCACACACAAAGAAAAAUAAAAAUACUAUGCGUCACAUAAUCAUAUGGUUUAACGGUAAGUUGGUCAACAGUUCGCAGGUUGAAGUGAUGAAGUGGCGCGUGUACAGAAAUCACCAGAAAAAUGGAUGUGUCUCGAUACGUUUUUCUCUCUCUUUCAUUUAUAACCAAUUCUCUUUUAGCUAGGAUGUAAAUUUAGUGCAAUUUUCCAAAGAGCAAAUUUAAGAAGAAUGAAAAAAAAACCUAGAUUUUAUUACAUACCUCAUCAUCAGAAACAACUAUUUAUACAUACAAUA
Sitodiplosis mosellana (orange wheat blossom midge) is the source of this 9788-nucleotide RNA transcript. It is a transcript of the gene named mitochondrial fission 1 protein, with no coding region annotated. The transcript is spliced from 5 exons. The record is from RefSeq and is a predicted model, not a curated record. NCBI's taxonomy places the organism in Eukaryota, Metazoa, Arthropoda, Insecta, Diptera, Cecidomyiidae.